GGAAUGUGUAGAUAUCGGGAAGAACACCAAUGGCGAAGGCAGGUCUCUGGGCCGUUACUGACGCUGAGGAGCGAAAGCGUGGGGAGCGAACAGGAUUAGAUACCCUGGUAGUCCACGCCGUAAACGGUGGAUGCUGGAUGUGGGGCCCGUUCCACGGGUUCCGUGUCGGAGCUAACGCGUUAAGCAUCCCGCCUGGGGAGUACGGCCGCAAGGCUAAAACUCAAAGAAAUUGACGGGGGCCCGCACAAGCGGCGGAGCAUGCGGAUUAAUUCGAUGCAACGCGAAGAACCUUACCUGGGCUUGACAUGUUCCCGACGAUCCCAGAGAUGGGGUUUCCCUUCGGGGCGGGUUCACAGGUGGUGCAUGGUCGUCGUCAGCUCGUGUCGUGAGAUGUUGGGUUAAGUCCCGCAACGAGCGCAACCCUCGCCCCGUGUUGCCAGCGGAUUAUGCCGGGAACUCACGGGGGACCGCCGGGGUUAACUCGGAGGAAGGUGGGGAUGACGUCAGAUCAUCAUGCCCCUUACGUCCAGGGCUUCACGCAUGCUACAAUGGCCGGUACAACGGGAUGCGACAGUGCGAGCUGGAGCGGAUCCCUGAAAACCGGUCUCAGUUCGGAUCGCAGUCUGCAACUCGACUGCGUGAAGGCGGAGUCGCUAGUAAUCGCGAAUCAGCAACGUCGCGGUGAAUGCGUUCCCGGGCCUUGUACACACCGCCCGUCAAGUCAUGAAAGUGGGCAGCACCCGAAGCCGGUGGCCUAACCCCUUGCGGGAGGGAGCCGUCUAAGGUGAGGCUCGUGAUUGGGACUAAGUCGUAACAAGGUAGCCGUACCGGAAGGUGCGGCUG
This 843-nucleotide ribosomal RNA is filed under the name human gut metagenome. RNAcentral describes it as "bacterial SSU rRNA". It matches the Rfam family "Bacterial small subunit ribosomal RNA", at positions 683 to 1520 of the family's 1533-position model. The record is from RNAcentral.